This 74-nucleotide transfer RNA is filed under the name Maccullochella peelii (Murray cod). Its description in RNAcentral is "tRNA-Glu". It matches the Rfam family "tRNA". From Rfam's summary of the family: Transfer RNA (tRNA) molecules are approximately 80 nucleotides in length. Their secondary structure includes four short double-helical elements and three loops (D, anti-codon, and T loops). The record is from RNAcentral. Lineage: Eukaryota; Metazoa; Chordata; Actinopteri; Centrarchiformes; Percichthyidae.
UUAGUGUUCUUGUAGUUGAGUAACAACGGUGGUUUUUCAAACCAUUGGCCUGGGUUAAACACCUAGCAGGAAUU